GUAGGUGGGCAAGCGUUGUCCGGAAUUAUUGGGCGUAAAGCGCGCGCAGGGCGGUCCUUUAAGUCUGAUGUGAAAGCCCACGGCUCAACCGUGGAGGGUCAUUGGAAACUGGGGGACUUGAGUACAGAAGAGGAAAGCGGAAUUCCAAGUGUAGCGGUGAAAUGCGUAGAGAUUUGGGGGAACACCAGUGGCGAAGGCGGCUUUCUGGUCUGUAACUGACGCUGAGGCGCGAAAGCGUGGGGAGCAAACAGGAUUAGAUACCCUGGUAGUCCACGCCGUAAACGAUGAGUGCUAAGUGUUAGGGGGUUUCCGCCCCUUAGUGCUGCAGCUAACGCAUUAAGCACUCCGCCUGGGGAGUACGGCCGCAAAGGCUG
Molecule: ribosomal RNA, 374 nt
Filed under: uncultured organism
Description: partial 16S ribosomal RNA
Rfam family: Bacterial small subunit ribosomal RNA
Source: RNAcentral